This 1295-nucleotide long non-coding RNA is filed under the name Pogona vitticeps (central bearded dragon). RNAcentral's name for it is "lncRNA (ENSPVIG00000008939.1)". The record is from RNAcentral. Lineage: Eukaryota; Metazoa; Chordata; Lepidosauria; Squamata; Agamidae.
NNNNNNNNNNNNNNNNNNNNNNNNNNNNNNNNNNNNNNNNNNNNNNNNNNNNNNNUCGCGCUCUCGGCUGGGCCUUAAAAGAUUAAUAAACAAAUGUCUGGACUAUUUAUCCAUUAACAAACUUCAUUUAAAUUAUCUGAAAUCAAAAAUUCUAGUUUUCUCCAAGUCCCGCAAAAUAUACAAAUGGACCUUUAAUCGUCAUUCAAUUGAACAGGUGAGGACCUUCAAAUAUCUGGGAUUACUAUUCUCAGCUGACUGUUCCUGGGUGGGCCACCGUAAUAUGGCACAUGCAACUGCCAAAACAUCUUCUACGGCUAUCUCCAGAUUCUUCUAUAACAAAGGGGGCCGCCUAAUCCCGGCAGCCCUCAAAAUAUUCAAUGCCAAAUCCAUUUCUCAAGCUUUGUACGGCAUCCCUAUUUGGAUCAACGCCUAUCACAAAUCAUUAGAAAAUUUUCAAUCAGUUUUCUUGAGAAGAAUCAUGGCCAUGCCAAACUGCGUGCCGUAUGAGGCGUUAUGCCUCGAAACGGGACAACUCCCAGUAAAGGACGUUGCUUGGCACAGAACUUGCAAAUAUUGGCUAAGAAUAUACUUUGACCCCUCCCAAACAACCCUACUCUAUCAUCUAAAAAAAGAUAGUUGCCCUCCUGCUGAUGGCUGGCUAAGGAAGAUUGAACAGAUUGGUCUAGAUCCGGAGUCCUUGGGUUCUCUCACGUUCCAGGCCGCCUUAAAAACCGUCAAACAAAGACUGGCCGACAUUGAUUCGCAAAACUUAUUAAGUGCCGCAAACAGAUCUUGCUCACCUCUGUUCUGGAAACUUCCCCUGGUAGUAGGCAGCCCACCGGCCUACAUUUCCAUACUGCAUAAUCCCGAAAUCAGAAGGGCAAUUUCGUUAGCCCGCUGUAAUUCAAUUCCCUCGGCGGUGCUAACAGGCCGAUUUAAUAAUAUCCCCUUCAAUAACAGAUUAUGCCCCUGCAUGAUGAAUGUUGUAGAGACGUUACCCCACAUCUUAUUUCAUUGCCCACUUCAUUUGACCGCGAGGGACAAAUUCCUCGCCUCCUUUCCACAACGAAAGCCCUGGCUUACUGACGAAGCAUAUUUUAGUCUUAUUUUACAGCGGUCCGACGAGCACUUUUUGACUAUCCUCGGCAAAUUUUUGCUAGACAUAAUCCAAACUAAUACAGAACGAGAACCCAAUCCUAAGUUUUAGUGUUUUAGGGGCUGUCCCCACAAGUUGUACUUUGUACCCUUUGUAUGUCUGUAUGCGCUUUUUAUGCCAAUAAAGGUAAAGUAAGUAA